Molecule: long non-coding RNA, 1087 nt
Filed under: Gossypium barbadense (sea-island cotton)
Lineage: Eukaryota; Viridiplantae; Streptophyta; Magnoliopsida; Malvales; Malvaceae
Description: long non-coding RNA (GBAR_LNC004814)
Source: RNAcentral
UUCAUUCUUCCAUCUUGAUAAUGACUUUCCUUGGGAACAAAGACUAUUGUAAAGCAAUUUUUUGUCCCAGAAGCACUUUUGUAAAGCUCAAAAGUGCUUUUUGUCCCAAAAAUACUUUUGAGAAGUAGUGCAAAACUGGCCUUUAAGACAGUCUAGGGGUAAGGGAUAUACAAAACAAUACAACAACAAAUAAUCACAUCUAAGGUGUUCUAUAAAGAUUUUGAGAGAAUAAUCCCACUGAAGUUGUUUCUUUUGCCCAAUUCUUGGCAGAGAUUUUCAAUCUGUGGGUGGGUGUUCUCUUUAUUCCUAGAUGAUGGUAUUAUCUUCUCCAUACCUUUACCAAUAUGAUUCUCAUCUUUCAAUGGACCAAAGCCUGCAAGCAGCAGCAGCUACUUCUGAAACCAUUUUAGAGGCAUCUUCAGCCUGAAGAAACAAAAAAUUAAAUCAGAAAAAGCACUGGUACUAGAGUUUUUUCGACUCCAUAAACAGGGUUGGUUAAAAAUUUAUAUAUAGGGGACACUUGGAAGUUCUCUAAUGCCAGUGUACCAAAUAAAGUACCCAAAAGAGAUACAUUUAUAUUUAUAUAUAGGCCAAUGAAAGAAGGAAGACCUACCAAUGAGCUACGGGAAUUCAGAAGUUUGGGUGUAGGUGGGCUCUCAAAUAAUAGCUGGGAUCUCAAUAUGGCUGGAAUUACAUAACAAAUCAAUAUUGAGGAAUAAACAUCAAAGCAGACAAUUUUCACUAUCACUAACCAUCCACAAAUUAACCGUUUCCUCCAGGCACUAUCUCUCAACAUCUCAAAGAGGAGUUCCACACAGAGUGAUUAAGCAGUAUCCCCUAAAUAUCCACACAGAGUGAUUAGUCCUUGAUUUAUUUAUCAAUUCAUCUUUCCCUCUGCUGUCUUUCUUGUUUCAGUUAAUUUUUACACUGAUGAGAAUUUUUUAUUCAUAUAGAAAAUUUUUGAAACACCAAAGUUUUUGUAAAAGGUUCUUAUUGUUUUCUUGAUCGAAGUUAGUAAAGCAUUGGUUAAAAGAGCCAGUAAGAUAGGGUGAAUAUUUUAUCAAAUGGAAAGAGCUACAACUUUUAC